Molecule: ribosomal RNA, 2891 nt
Filed under: Acinetobacter baumannii NIPH 201
Lineage: Bacteria; Pseudomonadati; Pseudomonadota; Gammaproteobacteria; Moraxellales; Moraxellaceae
Description: bacterial LSU rRNA
Rfam family: Bacterial large subunit ribosomal RNA
Source: RNAcentral
UCAAGUAAUUAAGUGCAUGUGGUGGAUGCCUUGGCAGUCAGAGGCGAUGAAAGACGUGAUAGCCUGCGAAAAGCUCCGGGGAGGCGGCAAAUAUCCUUUGAUCCGGAGAUGUCUGAAUGGGGGAACCCACCUACUUUAAGGUAGGUAUUGCAACAUGAAUACAUAGUGUUGCAAGGCGAACGAGGGGAAGUGAAACAUCUCAGUACCCUUAGGAAAAGAAAUCAAUUGAGAUUCCCUCAGUAGCGGCGAGCGAACGGGGAUCAGCCCAUUAAGUUAUGUGUGUUUUAGUGGAACGCUCUGGGAAGUGCGAACGUAGAGGGUGAUAUUCCCGUACACGAAAGGGCACACAUAAUGAUGACGAGUAGGGCGAGGCACGUGAAACCUUGUCUGAAUAUGGGGGGACCAUCCUCCAAGGCUAAAUACUCCUGACUGACCGAUAGUGAACCAGUACCGUGAGGGAAAGGCGAAAAGAACCCCUGUGAGGGGAGUGAAAUAGAUCCUGAAACCGCAUGCAUACAAGCAGUGGGAGCACCUUCGUGGUGUGACUGCGUACCUUUUGUAUAAUGGGUCAGCGACUUAUAUUCAGUAGCGAGGUUAACCGUAUAGGGGAGCCGUAGAGAAAUCGAGUCUUAAUAGGGCGUUUAGUUGCUGGGUAUAGACCCGAAACCAGGCGAUCUAUCCAUGAGCAGGUUGAAGGUUGGGUAACACUAACUGGAGGACCGAACCCACUGUCGUUGAAAAGCCAGGGGAUGACUUGUGGAUAGGGGUGAAAGGCUAAUCAAGCCUGGUGAUAGCUGGUUCUCCCCGAAAGCUAUUUAGGUAGCGCCUCGGACGAAUACCAUAGGGGGUAGAGCACUGUUUCGGCUAGGGGGUCAUCCCGACUUACCAAACCGAUGCAAACUCCGAAUACCUAUGAGUACUAUCCGGGAGACAGACUGCGGGUGCUAACGUCCGUAGUCAAGAGGAAAACAAUCCAGACCGCCAGCUAAGGCCCCAAAAUCAUAGUUAAGUGGGAAACGAUGUGGGAAGGCAUAGACAGCUAGGAGGUUGGCUUAGAAGCAGCCACCCUUUAAAGAAAGCGUAAUAGCUCACUAGUCGAGUCGGCCUGCGCGGAAGAUGUAACGGGGCUAAAACUAUGUGCCGAAGCUGCGGAUGUAUACUUUGUAUACGUGGUAGGGGAGCGUUCUGUAAGCCGAUGAAGGUGUGUUGAGAAGCAUGCUGGAGGUAUCAGAAGUGCGAAUGCUGACGUGAGUAACGACAAAACGGGUGAAAAACCCGUUCGCCGAAAGACCAAGGGUUCCAGUCCAACGUUAAUCGGGGCUGGGUGAGUCGACCCCUAAGGCGAGGCCGAAAGGCGUAGUCGAUGGGAAAAUGGUUAAUAUUCCAUUACUUCUGUGUAAUGCGAUGAGAGGACGGAGAAGGCUAAAUCAGCCUGGCGUUGGUUGUCCAGGUGAAAGGAUGUAGGCAUGUAUCUUAGGCAAAUCCGGGGUACUCUAUGCUGAGAUCUGAUAGCAAGCUGUACUUGUACAGCGAAGUGGUUGAUGCCAUGCUUCCAGGAAAAGUCUCUAAGCUUCAGUUACACAGGAAUCGUACCCGAAACCGACACAGGUGGUCAGGUCGAGUAGACCAAGGCGCUUGAGAGAACUCUGCUGAAGGAACUAGGCAAAAUGGUACCGUAACUUCGGGAGAAGGUACGCUGUUGUUGGUGAUGGAACUCGCUUCCUGAGCUGACGACAGCCGCAGAAACCAGGCGGCUGCAACUGUUUAUUAAAAACAUAGCACUCUGCAAACACGAAAGUGGACGUAUAGGGUGUGAUGCCUGCCCGGUGCUGGAAGGUUAAUUGAUGGGGUUAGCGUAAGCGAAGCUCUUGAUCGAAGCCCCAGUAAACGGCGGCCGUAACUAUAACGGUCCUAAGGUAGCGAAAUUCCUUGUCGGGUAAGUUCCGACCUGCACGAAUGGCAUAAUGAUGGCGGCGCUGUCUCCAGCAGAGGCUCAGUGAAAUCGAAAUCGCUGUGAAGAUGCAGUGUACCCGCGGCUAGACGGAAAGACCCCGUGAACCUUUACUGCAGCUUGACACUGAACUUUGACCUUACUUGUGUAGGAUAGGUGGGAGGCUUUGAAGCUGGAACGCUAGUUCCAGUGGAGCCGUCCUUGAAAUACCACCCUGGUAAUGUUGAGGUUCUAACUCUGUCCCGUGAUCCGGGACGAGGACCGUGUCUGGUGGGUAGUUUGACUGGGGCGGUCUCCUCCUAAAGAGUAACGGAGGAGUACGAAGGUGCGCUCAGCGUGGUCGGAAAUCACGCGUAGAGUAUAAAGGCAAAAGCGCGCUUAACUGCGAGACCCACAAGUCGAGCAGGUACGAAAGUAGGUCUUAGUGAUCCGGUGGUUCUGUAUGGAAGGGCCAUCGCUCAACGGAUAAAAGGUACUCUGGGGAUAACAGGCUGAUACCGCCCAAGAGUUCAUAUCGACGGCGGUGUUUGGCACCUCGAUGUCGGCUCAUCUCAUCCUGGGGCUGAAGCAGGUCCCAAGGGUAUGGCUGUUCGCCAUUUAAAGAGGUACGCGAGCUGGGUUUAGAACGUCGUGAGACAGUUCGGUCCCUAUCUACCGUGGGCGCUGGAAAUUUGAGAGGAUCUGCUCCUAGUACGAGAGGACCAGAGUGGACGAACCUCUGGUGUACCGGUUGUGACGCCAGUCGCAUCGCCGGGUAGCUAUGUUCGGAAGGGAUAACCGCUGAAAGCAUCUAAGCGGGAAGCCUACCUCAAGAUAAGAUUUCCCUAGGACUUUAUGUCCUCUAAAGAGCCGUUCGAGACUAGGACGUUGAUAGGUUGGAUGUGGAAGCAUAGUGAUAUGUGAAGCUGACCAAUACUAAUUGCUCGUGAGGCUUGACUAU